AUAUUUUAAAUUUAGCCAUGGUUGAUCAAGUGAGUUUUCUUUUGAUGAGUUUUGAUGUUUCGGUUUUGGAGUUUAAAACAGUGAUAUCGUGUUGCUCUUCAUCCACACGGCUAUACCUCUAUUUGGUCUUCCACUUGUGUUUUGAAAUGGGCUAAGAGCUUAAGGUAAUGAUGAAAAGGCUGGGGAGCAAGGCAUUACUGUAGAGGGAGAGGCAGAAGCUUAAGAUCUUCCCUAACUAGAACAGUUAUGUUUAUGGAUGAUGGGUUAUGUUUUUAUGAACGUAUGGACUCUAAGAGUCUUUUAUUGAUGAAUGUUCGAAUAGAAUGUCCAUCAAGUGUUCCAUUUAUUAAAUUAGAAAUUUAGAGU
This is a long non-coding RNA of Juglans microcarpa x Juglans regia, 366 nucleotides long. RefSeq lists it as uncharacterized. The transcript is spliced from 2 exons. Lineage: Eukaryota; Viridiplantae; Streptophyta; Magnoliopsida; Fagales; Juglandaceae. The record is from RefSeq and is a predicted model, not a curated record.